AAAAUAUAUGAAAAAGUUCACAUGGAGAUUAAAAGAAGGGGGUAAUUGAAUUAAAUAAACAAAGGGGUGAAAUAAAAAAGGAGAGGGGGUUAUCCCCUAUCUCCAGGACAGUGAGAUAAAAAGGGGCUCAAAUCCCGAAGUCAUCUCCUCAUUCUUCUUCUCUCUUCUGGUAGCAGCGACGGCGACAAAGAAGGACCAUCGGUGGCUUCAACCACGCCGGCGAAGACGUGCCAUGUCUUUUCGAAAGAGGUUCUUGAUGGUUCUCUCUUUCUCUUCCCCACUACUCUUCUCUCCUCUAGCGAUGGUUUGCGAUAGUGGUGACGCGGUGGUUCGGUUUUAUUCACGGCAAAGGGGAUUAGGUGAGGGGGCAUUCGGUUACCCUCACACACAUUAAGGGAUAAAAUCCCUAAUCCUCAUCUUCUCUCAUCUUCGUCGGCGGUGGAAAUCGGUAGGGUGGGUUCUCACCGGUGGCUUAUGGUGGUUCUAGGAACAGGUUAUAAUCAUCUCUCCCUUCAUUUUUAUUUUUCGUUUUAUGAAUCGAUGACUAUGGCAUCUGCUACUGCUUCCUUCUUUUCGGAUAGAUGAUUUUCUAAUUAUGUUCAUAUGCUUCUCUUGUGGUAAUUGGGAGGUCAAAUAUAAAUAUGGAUGCUUCUCUCCCUUUUUAAUCUUCCUUGUAUUGACUUUAUUUUCUUCAUAUGCAGUGUGAAACAUUAUUUAAGAUGUUUAUCAAACGAGGACAGUGACCAUGGUUCUUGUGCCGGUAAUGACGGAGAUGUCGUUGGCCCGUGAGUAAUUACUCUUGGACUGUCCGGAAGCAGUGAGUAUUAGCCUCACUAAAGACUUCUCACACAAAGUGGUGUCAGCACAGGUUGAUAUUUUUUGCUUUAACAAUUAUCCGAAUGCUUAAGAAUAUGUAUGUUAGAUGUAUGCAUCUCAUUUGAUAUAUAGAUUAUCCCAGGGGUAUUUUACAUGUAAUUAUUUAGAUGAAAAUGAUAGUUGCCUUACCUGAAUGUGUUCCUAUCUACACGUUCAUGCUAUUGACUCCUUGCUGAGUUCCUGCCUUUUGUUCUCUGAUUCCUGCCUCUGUGUGUGUUUUGGAUUAUCUGCGUAAUGUGUGUGGUCUAGGAUUGCCUUUAUGUAUAUGCAUAAGUGUAAUAGGUUGUAGAUGUGAAUUAUGUAUGUAAUUGUAGCAUAUGUGCUCUGAUGGAAUUGUGUAUGUGCGUAAGUUUUUUUCCCUCUCCUUUUGUGAUCUCUAUGUGUUAUGUUCUACUCAACUGUAUAUGCUCUAUCUUUUCUAUUUUUUCUGUGGUGUAAUCUCUUACGACUCUGUCUUUUUUUGUUGGCUGUGUGUAUGUGACAUAUGGUCUUAUUUAUAGCUGGUUGUGAUUCCAUGUGAGACCCUUUUGAGUUGCCCUCAUCUUGCCCUGAUUGUUGCUCUUUAGAUCUUCUGACUUGACCUAUUUAAGGCUGCCCAAGGAUAAUAGUUUGCAAACACUCAAUUUUGCACGGCCAAAAUACUUUUUCCAAAAAUGACACAUAAAAAUAAAAUGAAUAUUUUUAGUUAUUUUCUAUCGAAAAUUGACAUUUUUUAGACAUCCCAAAUUAAAAAUAUUUUAAUUUAUGUCUUAUAUUAAAAUCGAAUUUCAAAUUUUAAACACUAUAAUAAUAUAAAUCAAAAUUUUGAAUUAAAAGUAAAAAAAUCACAAAAAAAGUAAACACAAAAUACCUACACAAUAAUCCAAAGAUCAUGGAAGCAAAAAGUCAAAAAUACCAUGGAAUGGCAGUGGAGAUUGAGGCUAAGCUAUUGAAGGCAGCUAUAAGAUUUAUUUAAGAAGAGCAAUGUUUUUUUAAAGUGAAAGGAUGAAAAGUUGUUCAUCAGAUAAUCAAUCCAAAGGUAAGGUGCUUUUUCUUAAAAGACUUUUUUAGAAUUAGAUUUCCUGGGAUCUUCUUGCUGCAACCACUUCCAGGUCAUUUUCUCAUGUUAAUUAAUUUUCUAUCUACUUUCGUGGCCCUUUUGUUUUGUAUCCCACUCUUGCUUAAUUUGCAAAUUGUGGAUCCUGAUAAUACGCACGGAUCCAUCUAUCUCUGGCACACCGCAGGAAUCAAAACCAGCGGUAGCCGACGUAGAUCUCGGACGUAGAUCUUGGAACUUCAGUUGCCGAGAAUCACGGGAGUAGAUUGUGUGAGACGAAGUAGGAAUGGCAACGGGGCGGGUCGGGGUCGGGUUUGCAUAUACCC
Molecule: long non-coding RNA, 2238 nt
Filed under: Lupinus angustifolius (narrow-leaved blue lupine)
Lineage: Eukaryota; Viridiplantae; Streptophyta; Magnoliopsida; Fabales; Fabaceae
Description: long non-coding RNA (LANG_LNC003594)
Source: RNAcentral